Molecule: transfer RNA, 93 nt
Filed under: Candidatus Regiella insecticola 5.15
Lineage: Bacteria; Pseudomonadati; Pseudomonadota; Gammaproteobacteria; Enterobacterales; Enterobacteriaceae
Description: tRNA-Ser
Rfam family: tRNA
About the family: Transfer RNA (tRNA) molecules are approximately 80 nucleotides in length. Their secondary structure includes four short double-helical elements and three loops (D, anti-codon, and T loops).
Source: RNAcentral
GGUGAGGUGGCCGAGCGGCUGAAGGCGCUCCCCUGCUAAGGGAGUAUAUGGUUAAAAGCCGUAUCGAGGGUUCGAAUCCCUCCCUCACCGCCA